This 761-nucleotide ribosomal RNA is filed under the name uncultured Flavobacteriaceae bacterium. Its description in RNAcentral is "bacterial SSU rRNA". It matches the Rfam family "Bacterial small subunit ribosomal RNA", at positions 1 to 740 of the family's 1533-position model. The record is from RNAcentral. Lineage: Bacteria; Pseudomonadati; Bacteroidota; Flavobacteriia; Flavobacteriales; Flavobacteriaceae.
UAGGCUUUGAUCCUGGCUCAGGAUGAACGCUAGCGGCAGGCCUAACACAUGCAAGUCGAGGGGUAGAGGAAGCUUGCUUCCUUGAGACCGGCGCACGGGUGCGUAACGCGUAUGCAAUCUACCUUGUACAGGGGAAUAGCCCAGAGAAAUUUGGAUUAAUGCCCCAUGGUAUAUAGUUUUCGCAUGAUACUAUAUUAAAGAUUUAUCGGUACAAGAUGAGCAUGCGUCCCAUUAGUUAGUUGGUGUGGUAACGGCACACCAAGACGAUGAUGGGUAGGGGUCCUGAGAGGGAGAUCCCCCACACUGGUACUGAGACACGGACCAGACUCCUACGGGAGGCAGCAGUGAGGAAUAUUGGGCAAUGGGCGAGAGCCUGACCCAGCCAUGCCGCGUGCAGGAAGACGGUCCUAUGGAUUGUAACCUGCUUUUAUACGGGAAGAAACACUCCUUCGUGAAGGAGCUUGACGGUACCGUAAGAAUAAGGAUCGGCUAACUCCGUGCCAGCAGCCGCGGUAAUACGGAGGAUCCAAGCGUUAUCCGGAAUCAUUGGGUUUAAAGGGUCCGUAGGCGGGUCUAUAAGUCAGUGGUGAAAUCCGGCAGCUCACCUGUCGACCUGCCAUUGAUACUGUAGGUCUGGAAUUUUUGUGACGUGCCUAAAAUAUGUACUGUACGGUGAAAUGCUAGAUUAUACAUGGAAACCAUUGCAAGGCAGGUAUUCCUGGUCGGCGCGCAGGUACCAUUGGAGCGUCACGCCUGGAUCU